Molecule: non-coding RNA, 107 nt
Organism: Alistipes finegoldii CAG:68
Lineage: Bacteria; Pseudomonadati; Bacteroidota; Bacteroidia; Bacteroidales; Rikenellaceae
Source: Rfam
UUGUGCCGGGUGAGUCUUAUACGACCAGCUCCUACAGAAUCCCCCAGGCGAGGAAUCGAGCAAGGGUAUGUGGUUGUAGCGGUGCGAUAUAAUCAGCUCACCCAACC